UGGCUCAGAACGAACGCUGGCGGCAGGCCUAACACAUGCAAGUCGAGCGGCCGUAGCAAUACGGCAGCGGCAGACGGGAGAGUAACACGUGGGAACGUGCCCUUCGGUUCGGAAUAACGCAGGGAAACUUGCGCUAAUACCGGAUACGCCCUUACGGGGAAAGAUUUAUUGCCGAAGGAGCGGCCCGCGUCUGAUUAGCUAGUUGGUGAGGUAACGUCUCUCCAAGGCGACGGUCAAAUAGCUGGUCUGAGAGGAUGACCAGCCUCACUGGGACUUUUUCUCUGCCCAGACGAAUACGGGAGGCA
RNAcentral lists this ribosomal RNA (305 nucleotides) under uncultured bacterium. RNAcentral describes it as "bacterial SSU rRNA". It matches the Rfam family "Bacterial small subunit ribosomal RNA", at positions 20 to 353 of the family's 1533-position model. The record is from RNAcentral.